Long non-coding RNA from Macrosteles quadrilineatus (aster leafhopper), 765 nucleotides. RefSeq lists it as uncharacterized. Lineage: Eukaryota; Metazoa; Arthropoda; Insecta; Hemiptera; Cicadellidae. The record is from RefSeq and is a predicted model, not a curated record. The transcript is spliced from 3 exons.
CUACAAGAGGUAAGUUCCUUAGUGACUGCUACCAGUAGUGGACGUAUCAGUGUGUACAGUCUCAACACAGACCUCACCUCAGCACCACAACUGGUCACUUCCACUGACUGUGGCUGUAGGAUCACCUGUCUCACACUGUACGACUACAAGAGUGCGGUGAAAGUCAAGAAGGAAAAAUCAGAAGAGAAAAAUGUAAAUAAAAGAACAGUGAAUAGUGAAGAGAAGAAGAGAAAAAUAUCCGUGUCUGAAGAAACACCAGAACAGAAUAAAAAUAGUAGUCCAAAAAAGAAAGUCAACAAUUCAGAAUUUCUUGAAACAAAUGUAGUCAAGACUCCCAAGAAUUCAAAAUUACAAAAGAAGAAAAGUCAAGGAACGGUGACAGUUGUGUGUAGUCCUAGGACUCAAAAAUGGGUUGUGGAAGAUGGUAAAGGAUAGUGUCAGUAUUUAAAUAAAAUAUGAAACUUGUUUUUUAAUAUUAUGUCUUAUAUUUUAACCUUAAGGGUAUGUCAAACUUUAAAUUGUCUGUCCCUAAAGUAAUACAUAGGCUAAUUAACACUUUUUGAAUUUAAAUUAUUUCAUUUCAAGAGCAAGGAAGAAAAGAAAUAAAAUUCAUGUUAGCCUAAUAAAAAUAUACAUUUAUUAACAGAAUUAUACAAUACAUCACAGAACUAUCAACACUUUAAAUGGAGUGGUUAGGUACGUUGCCUGUUAGUCAAUCAUAAAGAGAUUCGUGCUUCUGCCAAUUUGGUUUCUAAUAGAAAAGAU